Molecule: long non-coding RNA, 1335 nt
Filed under: Pogona vitticeps (central bearded dragon)
Lineage: Eukaryota; Metazoa; Chordata; Lepidosauria; Squamata; Agamidae
Description: lncRNA (ENSPVIG00000001825.1)
Source: RNAcentral
CUAAAGCAAGAGAUUACACUACAGACAGAACAAAACCCCGGUAGCAACCUACCAAUUAUAUGGACACUUCAUAUCUUCCUUUGUGCAUCAAAGUACCUGGGAAUUUCACAAACAAGCAAAAUGUGAUUCCAGAUUGCCAGGCAUCAUUCUUCCUUUAUUGAAAAGAAACCAUAGGAGGGGUUGAGUGCAGUGGGGAAUGUGGACACUGUCACAGAUUGUGUGAAGAGACAAAUCAGUGGCAUGAAAAAGUUCUGAUUUUGUGUGUGUGUCUGUGUGUUCUGUGUGGCGAUCCCCUUUGCGCCCCUUAUUUCUGAUUAAAAGGUAAACUCACCCUUUUCUUAUUUCUUUGGGCUCCACAAAGGUAAACUAACCCUUUUCCGCUUUCACCAGGUAUUAUCUUAAUACCAAUUCAAGUCCCACACACAGGAGCUGCUCAUAUAACUUAGGAAUCAGGGGUUUUGAUCAAAUAUUCUUUUAUUGUUAAACAAAUCAUAAGGGAAAGUUUCAGGUGUGCCCAUAUAUCAGAUCAUGUAUUCAAUCACUGGUUUUCAGAACUAUUAUAUGUUUUAAAUCACUAUAUCUCAUGUUAAGCUUAAAUGUUCAUUCCUGCUUGUUCAAUAUGAUGUAAACUGUUCAAUUACCUUUUCUAACCCCUUUAAUCUAUUCCUAAACCCUAACACUCUCUCAAUAGCUUCUGGUCCCUGACUGUCUCUAUCCCUAUCUUCUUCCAACUGUCUCUAACUGUCUCUUCCAACUGUCUAACUGUCCUGUUAGCUCCGCCCCUCCUGCUCUAUCCUCCCAUUGACAGGCAGGAGUGACGUCAUCUUUUUGCAGUCCAUUACAUUCUGUUUUGUGUUAUUUUGGUCAGGGGCAAGGCUUCGACAAGAUGUACCCUUACUUUUCCCAUCCAGAUGCCUUUGGCUCUUUUCGUAGCUGAUUUAUUGAAUAUUGAUUUAUUGGAUGGACUGCAAGAGACAUGGAAAAAAGGAAGAACUGACAAGCAGAAUAUGAAAUAAAAGGGAACAUAGCUUCUGCAGCUUCACCCUGUUCCAGACGGAGCAUGGAAAUGAAGAAAACAAUGCCACAUGCCACCCCAUUCAAUGAAUCAGGAAGGUGAGAGAUAUAUUUAAAGGCUGCCACUGACCUCCCAAGCAACAUUUUAUGGCAGGAGCCUAAGCUGCCUUCCCAGCCAAAGUCUGACAGUGGAGGAACUGCCAGCUUCCUUUUUAAAAUAGGAUGUUUUCUUUGCAUUCCUUUGUUGAGUAGGAUGGAAUCCCUUUUCCACCUACCCUGUACUGCAGUUACUUUAAUACUUUAAUGGAGCUACAGCAGUUU